RNAcentral lists this unclassified non-coding RNA (824 nucleotides) under Hevea brasiliensis (rubber tree). The record is from RNAcentral. Lineage: Eukaryota; Viridiplantae; Streptophyta; Magnoliopsida; Malpighiales; Euphorbiaceae.
AAAGAAAAUUACUAAUUCACCUGUCGCUUUGAAAAGUCUAUUCCAACCCAAACCCAACCAUCAAAAUCCAAUUUGCUCAAACACCUACCAAGCUUUGAAUUGAAUCCCAUCACCUGAGUCUACUGUCUCAAAAUCUAGCUGGGGAAAAAACCCAGAAGAAGAGUAGAAAACAGGAAACGAAUAUCCCCAUCUCUACGCACUUCUUCUUAGAAAUGGCGUACGUAGACCACGCCUUCUCCAUAACAGACGACGACAUUAUGAUGGAGACAUCAUACGUUGUCAACAAUCGACCACCAAUCAAGGAGAUUGCUCUUGCCGUCUCUCUUCUCGUUUUCGGCGUCGUCGGUAUCGUUUUGGGCAUUUUUAUGGCUUCCAACAAAAUCGGCGGUGACCGUGCUCAUGGGCUUUUCUUUGCGAUUCUGGGAGUGGUGCUGUUUAUACCUGGAUUUUAUUAUACUCGGAUUGCUUACUAUGCUUAUAAGGGAUACAAAGGCUUCUCUUUCGCCAACAUACCUCCCGUCUAGUUGAUGAUAAGCUGAAGCUUCAAUUUGCCCCAAUUACUUGUGUACAUAUCUUUCUCAAGUUGUGGUUCUUUCUUUAAUUUACUUGCGGUUCUUUAUUUUUUUUUAAUAAUUUUGUAAUUUUAUUGUUCUUAACAACUGGUUUUUGUUGCUAUAUAGUUGAAUUGUGUCUUGCGCAGUUACUCUGUUGAUGAUAAAACUCUAGCUUCGUGAUCUUAGUUAAUAAUCUAGUUUAUUUCAAAUUCCUUCUUCGUUUUGUGUUUUGCUUCCUUAAAUGGAUGUGUUUCUUAACAUUCAGCUCUU